UACAGAGGUGGCGAGCGUUACUCGGAUUUAUUGGGUGUAAAGGGCAAGUAGGCGUCUUGACAAGUUAGGGGUGAAAUCCUGCAGCUCAACUGCAGAACUGCUCUUAAAACUGUUGAGAUUGAGUUUGGGAGAGGAAAGCGGAAUUCUCGGUGUAAGAGUGAAAUCUGUAGAUAUCGAGAGGAACACCAGUGGCGAAGGCGGCUUUCUGGCCCAGUACUGACGCUGAAUUGCGAAAGCUAGGGGAGCAAACAGG
This 253-nucleotide ribosomal RNA is filed under the name uncultured bacterium. RNAcentral's name for it is "partial 16S ribosomal RNA". It matches the Rfam family "Bacterial small subunit ribosomal RNA", at positions 524 to 776 of the family's 1533-position model. The record is from RNAcentral.